Molecule: long non-coding RNA, 1093 nt
Filed under: Solanum tuberosum (potato)
Lineage: Eukaryota; Viridiplantae; Streptophyta; Magnoliopsida; Solanales; Solanaceae
Description: long non-coding RNA (STUB_LNC010234)
Source: RNAcentral
GUUUCUUCAAAAUCAUAAAAUGGAAACGUAUACAGCUACUCUAUUCAAAUUGUUCCCAAUCCUCGGUCACUAUAGUAGAUGGCGGUCUAAGAGGUGGGGCGGCCAGGCUUCCAACCCCAAGCAUAGGUGUAGGAGGUGGUGGGGUGUUCAGUCCUCCAACCCCAAACACAGGUCUAGGAGGAGGUGAGGCGUUCAUGCUUCCAACCCCAAGCACAAGUGUAGGAGGUGGUUGGGUGUUCAGUCCUCCAACCCCAAAUGCAGGUCUAGGAGGAGGUGAGGCGUUCAUGCUUCCAACCCCAAGCACAAGUGUAGGAGGUGGUUGGGUGUUCAGUCCUCCAACCCCAAAUGCAGGUCUAGGAGGAGGUGAGGCGUUCAUGCUUCCAACCCCAAGCACAAGUGUAGGAGGUGGUUGGGUGUUCAGUCCUCCAACCCCAAAUGCAGGUCUAGGAGGAGGUGAGGCGUUCAUGCUUCCAACCCCAAGCACAAGUGUAGGAGGUGGUUGGGUGUUCAGUCCUCCAACCCCAAAUGCAGGUCUAGGAGGAGGUGAGGCGUUCAUGCUUCCAACCCCAAGCACAGGUCUAGGAGGAGAUGAGGUGUUCAUGCUUCCAACCUCAAGCACAGGUCUAGGUGGUGGUGGAGCGUUCAGGCUUCCAACCCCCGACUCAAAUGUCUCCCAUUGAGUAGUCACUGACACGGCAUUACUGUUGUUGAUAAAGGGAUUGGAAUUUCUUGCUUUUACUGCAUCCAUUGCCUCUACUAAGUUUUGGACACGACGAACCUGAAAAGGGGAGAAAAAACUUGACAUUAUAGUGCACUGAUCAUCAAUAUUUGCAAUCAUGUAAAAACCCAAUAGGGCACAAGCAGCAGUUUUCCUCUAGAAGCAAGUAUUGAAUGCAGCAGUUAACAACGCUCCACUUUUCUAAUCAUAUUCACAACAGAUAUCUCAAAUAUGAAGGAAAAGUUUCUAAACAUCAAAAGAUCAAUGUAGAAGGUUAUGAAGACAGCGAAAAUUACCAUUUUACAGUUAGUUUAGACCGUUAAUAAUUGAUAGAAAUGCAUUAGUUAUGCAAUUCGAAUCGGUUUGCCAAGGAAG